Molecule: non-coding RNA, 1133 nt
Organism: Oncorhynchus mykiss (rainbow trout)
Lineage: Eukaryota; Metazoa; Chordata; Actinopteri; Salmoniformes; Salmonidae
Source: RefSeq, a predicted model, not a curated record
UAUAUAUACACAUACACACACAUGUACAGUACAUAUACAUAAACAUAUUCACAGGACACUCAACUUAUCUCUUAUGUUUUUCCCCACAUCAGAUAUGCAGGUGACAUUUCCACCUGGAUGACAGCACAUAAUCAGCAAGACGGAGAUGCUCUUCAUCCGAGGGAAUGCCUGCCCAUUCACAGAUGUUAGAUGAUCACAUGUCAUUUACAUUCCAGCCCUUAUCAGCUCCAGAUUUGACUACUUCAACUCACACCCUGCUGGAAUCCCUGCAUUCUCAGAUUCCCCUAUGUUAUUAAUCUCUAUAUUGUAAUCAAUAAAGUGUUUCAAAAUGCUGUACUUUUAUUAACAUAUAAUGUUCAGAUCAUUCCUGAGAGAGAAGGGGUGUAAUAUCUCCUGAUGGGCGUGUGGUACUCUUUCUCACCCAUGCCAACAAGAUGUUACUUCUUGUGGGGUCUUUGCCUUGAAAGUAAGUAUGAGAGUAUAAGUAAUGUACAAUUAACCUACUGAAAGUAUACUGACUAAAAGGCAAAACAGAGCUGUCAAAUUAUAUUAUAGCUGUGUCAUUGUAUCCUUCCAAAUUAUAAUCUUAGGUGUAACAUAAUUUUGUUGGGGAAAACUGAAAUGCCCAUCAAACUUUUUUCCCCAGUUUGCUGAAUUUGUUCUGAAAGAGGAGUCGAUUGUCUUUUCAAAUACGGACAAAGAUUUUAACAUCAUGAGAGAAGAAAUAGCAGUCACUCUCCUCCAAAACACUGAUGACCUGAGCCAACUGUGCCACUUCUGUGGGGAGGUGGACAAUAAUGAGGAAGACACUAUCUGGAUUGGUUGUGACCGCUGCCCACGAUGGUUCCACCAGACCUGUAUGAAAACCAUCCUAUCAUGGAGGAUUAUGUCUGCGCUGCCUGUCAGGACUAGGUUAGGCUUGAGUUCCAGGCGACGGUAUCACCUGGAAAACUUUCCAUAAAAAGUGGAAUAAAUGUUCAGUCGAGCUGUUGUAGCUUUCCAAUAUUUUUUAUGUUAUUUAUUGUCUUUUUAUAUUUGAUUUACUGUCAUUUUAUAUUUAAUUAUGCAAAUAUCCAAAUUAGAGGUAGACCGAUUAAUCGGCAUGGCCGAUUUCAAGGUUUCAUAACAAUCGG